This 219-nucleotide unclassified non-coding RNA is filed under the name Hevea brasiliensis (rubber tree). Lineage: Eukaryota; Viridiplantae; Streptophyta; Magnoliopsida; Malpighiales; Euphorbiaceae. The record is from RNAcentral.
AAACAAUAGCAACCCCUUUACCUUUCCUCUUACCCAAACCACCAGACUCAUAUCUCUGAAAAGUCUGUUCACAAACUCUCUCCAUUUCUUCAGGGGUCAGUCCUGGAACAUUUUGAACAGUGGGUGUUGUUCUGGCAGUUAAAGAAGCCAUUUUUAUGGAGAAAUUGCAGUGGAAUGUGAAAAGGGUGUGCUUUGAUUUGCUUGAAAAUGGAGUAAAUU